AUCGAGACUAUAAUUAUAAUUAACUAUCGGAUAAUAUGCAAUUACUCCGAAGUCGGAAGGAGAGAGAGGAGAGAGUACGAUCGAUCCGAUCCGAUCCGAGAUCGAAGACUUCGAAUCUUUCUCGUGUUCUUCCGUUUCGGGGGAUGAAUCGAUACCGAUUUGCUCCGCGGAUUCCCCUACGGAUUCGAUUGGUGCCCUUCCCAGGUCCCGGAUGCCGGUGUCCUGAAUCAUCAAGACCAGCGAAUCACUCCGAUCGCGGUUCGGGAACACCGGUCGCGAAUAGUUUACGAGGUCGAGGGUUUUUUUGGGAUCUUAUUUGGAUUUACCGGGUUUAUGAGAAGAGGAUUAAUUAGAUGACAAGAAGCAACGGCGAUUUGAGUCGAGAUCGAGCGCUUCUCGUAUUCUUCUCUGGGUGACACAACUGCGAAGACUUUGAAGAUUUUGUUGUGGUUGAAACUGAUGCGGGUUUCUAAAAACAGCAGAUUGAGGUGAACGGAUUUAUUUGGGGGGUUUCUGCGAUUGAGAGGAUCUUGCAGAGAUUGAUUUUCUUCGUCGAGAGAUAUAUCUAUGGGCCUUUGAAGGUAUUAGUCGCAGUUGAAUGUGAUGAAAAUUCUGGGUUUCCUGAAGCCAGACCGGUAGACUAUUACUAGACCUAAAAGAUUUAGUUGAAGAUUGUGUUAAAAAUUGCAAGAAUUUUAAUGGCCAAGGAUCUUGAGCAGAUCGAAAUAAAUUCAUGAUCUUGGAUAUGGGGAAGCAUCUGGUGCUACGAAUCAAGUGUCAAAUACUGCUAAUGGGGAGAAUAGAGAUCAUGAACUAAAGUUGGCAUGAGCAGCCGACAAAAUAUCAAUGGUACAAAAUUGCAAUUUAUUCAACCUGUAACAGAAGAGUAGAAAAAUGCUGUAUCGGGCAAUGUCUUUGGUGCUUGUUAUCCAUGGAAAGUUAUACCAAGGCUCGAUGGAGUAGAUUUGGGCAUGCCACUCUUUAUAUGCUCGAGCAAGAUUUUUUUUUGUGUUUGAUGUUCAAGAUAAGGCAACUAAACAACUAGUGGUAGAGAUGGGACCUUAUUUUUUUGGCUGUAAGCCUUUGGUUUCAAAGCCUUGGGGACCUGUUUCUGUUAUGAAAGAAGAGAAGAUAAUAUUAUACCUAUACGGAUCAGUUACAAGGAGUGCCUUUGUUCUUUGAUCAGUUUACAUUUAGAAAGGAGAGACUUUUCGUUUGCUUGAAGUUGUGUGGAGAUCAGUUACCUCAAAGCUGUUCAGGUUUUCAAUGGUGAUAUUUGUCGAUCAACCUACUGCUUAUGAAUGGGCACCUUUAAGUUGUAAAUUCUGCAGUUGUUUGGGUGAUAUUUAAUGAUAAAUGUAAGAAGGGGUCUCAAAUUAUUGGUAUAAGGCAGAAGAAGAAAUCUGUUAUCGAUAAUAAUCUUAGAACUAUGCUUUUACAGCAUGAAAUUUGUAACCACUUGGGGUUUCAUAUAUUAACUAUAUCUUCUGCUUGCCAGAUAAGCUUUCAACCGCAUAUAGAAGUAUGGUGCCCUAAAACAAGAUUGCUAUAUUAGUUAUCAGCACUCCCUUCACCAUACCGAGAGAGAGAGAGAGAACCUUGCAUCAAUUUUAUGUGUUUAUUAUACUUCCAUCAAAUGUCCGGAUCUAUUGUGUGAAAGGACUUACCAGUUUGGCUCCUAGUUCUUUUAAAGCACCAGUCAGGUUCAACUCCAUGGCUUUUGCAGACAUUCCAACAAGAGCUAGUAACCAUCCAGCAUCUAGUUUCAAUUCAGGAUCUCCAGCCUCUUUUGCUACUUAUACUUAACAUUAAACAGUUACGUGAAUCCUUGAUGUUUUGGAAGUCCCAGAAAAUUUCCACCAGAUCAAGCUCCAAAAGUGCCUUACAUGUAUAAUCAACCUAUAAGAAAGGAUGGGUACAGCACAAGGUUUUCUCAUGGGGACUAUAGAAGGGUUACAUUUACAAGAAAAAUCCCAGUUAUGCCUCUAAUUGCUGACAGAGCUGAUGCUACUGAAUACCAUCAAACUGGAAGUUUUUUCAACUGUCCCUCUUCAUCUUGCUCAGAUAGCACAAAUGUUAUUUCAAGUACUGAAUGCUUGUUUUGGACACCAUAAACAUGCUAGCCAGCUACAGGAAUGAUAAAAGCAAUUAUAUUGUUGGCGAUGGACUGCAGAAGAAAUCAAUACUUUGGCAUAAUGACGAAUAUCAUUCUCAAUUCAUGUCAACUUGGUUCUUUGCUUCAAGAAAUAUAACUUAUGAUUUUUAUUCAACCUAUAAGACUUCUGAUCCAAGACUGACAGAAUGGUGGAACCAUUUUGUUGCACCCAUGGAACCCCAGUGACAGGUUACAUCCUCAGGUUAGUCACCUUAGAAUAGUUGGUUAAACGAUUUUGUUGUUAGGUUAUGUGUCUUAUUUAUACUUUUAGUUUGUGUUCAUGAGCUGAACCAGCUCACGACAAGAGGCAUGUUAAUGGUGGUACCAUGGUGAUACUGCAUAUUUUCUCCAUUUCAAUCAGAACAGAAAUGCAAGUGGUCAUCUGCCAGCUUUUCAAUGUCCUUCCAUCCGAGUUAUGGUGCCAGCUCAAAGUGGCCACACCCAGAUGGUAAUCCCUUAUAACACCAUUUCAAGCUAUUCAUGCACGGGGGUUGUCGAUUCCAGA
Non-coding RNA from Musa acuminata subsp. malaccensis (wild Malaysian banana), 2660 nucleotides. The record is from RefSeq and is a predicted model, not a curated record. NCBI's taxonomy places the organism in Eukaryota, Viridiplantae, Streptophyta, Magnoliopsida, Zingiberales, Musaceae.